UUUCCGUAGGUGAACCUGCGGAAGGAUCAUUAAUGGGAAAUCAAAUCAAAUCAAAACAAAUGUUCUGUUGCACUGGGUGUGCUGUGUGGUGGUGAUGUGAGACAUGGAGAUUCAAUCAUUGGAGAUUCAAUCAUUGGAGAUUCAAUCAUUGGAGAUUCAAUCAUUGGAAUUUCAAUCAUUGGAGAUUCAAUCAUUCAAUCUCAAUCAUCGCCACACAACACAACUAUCUAUCACACUCGAUCAACAACAACACACUCACACACAACAGCAAACAACUUUUAACAAUGGAUCUCUUGGCUCUU
Molecule: unclassified non-coding RNA, 302 nt
Filed under: plant metagenome
Description: partial contains small subunit ribosomal RNA, internal transcribed spacer 1, and 5.8S ribosomal RNA
Source: RNAcentral